This is a long non-coding RNA of Prinia subflava (tawny-flanked prinia), 344 nucleotides long. RefSeq lists it as uncharacterized. The transcript is spliced from 3 exons. Lineage: Eukaryota; Metazoa; Chordata; Aves; Passeriformes; Cisticolidae. The record is from RefSeq and is a predicted model, not a curated record.
CUGCUUGUGCAGGAUCUGAAAGCAGAUACUACAGGGAGGGCAGAGACAUGGUGGAGCAACUAAAGCCACUGGAACACACAUAUUCAAGGGUCAGCUCUUGCCUAAGAAGAGCCGAAUGGCACAUCUCUGCAGAACCCCGGUCAUGGAGGAUCUACCGACAGCAAAUUAGCCAUCAGUUUAAUGCAAGCAUGUCAGUGGAGGUAGGCAGCAGCUGGUAAUGACUGUUCCUCACCAAAAACUGCUGAAAAUUUGGGGACUUUCUAGCAUCACCGUUUCAAGGAAAAACAACAGUGUUCCAAAAAAGGAUGUAUUUUUUAAAAGACUUCAUUUAAAUAAAGUUCCAG